This 69-nucleotide transfer RNA is filed under the name Mitrocomella polydiademata. Its description in RNAcentral is "tRNA-Met". It matches the Rfam family "tRNA". Rfam says of the family: Transfer RNA (tRNA) molecules are approximately 80 nucleotides in length. Their secondary structure includes four short double-helical elements and three loops (D, anti-codon, and T loops). The record is from RNAcentral. Lineage: Eukaryota; Metazoa; Cnidaria; Hydrozoa; Leptothecata; Mitrocomidae.
GUAAAGUAAACUAAUGGUAAGUUAUUAGGCUCAUAACCUAAAUAUGAAGGUUCGAUUCCUUCCUUUAUA